Molecule: ribosomal RNA, 253 nt
Filed under: uncultured bacterium
Lineage: Bacteria
Description: partial 16S ribosomal RNA
Rfam family: Bacterial small subunit ribosomal RNA
Source: RNAcentral
UACGUAGGGUGCAAGCGUUAAUCGGAAUUACUGGGCGUAAAGCGUGCGCAGGCGGUUUUGUAAGUCUGUCGUGAAAGCCCCGGGCUCAACCUGGGAAUUGCGAUGGAGACUGCAAGGCUUGAAUCUGGCAGAGGGGGAUAGAAUUCCACGUGUAGCAGUGAAAUGCGUAGAGAUGUGGAGGAACACCGAUGGCGAAGGCAGCCCCCUGGGUCAAGAUUGACGCUCAUGCACGAAAGCGUGGGGAGCAAACAGG